UCUGCCCACAGCCGGGAGAUAGCCCUCCGAAAGGAAGGAUUAAUAUCCCAUAGGAAGAUGAGAUGGCAUCAGUUUAUUUUUAAACUAACGGGGGCUGUGGAUGAGCAUGCGGUUGAUUAGCUAGUUGGCGGGGUAAAGGCCCACCAAGGCGAUGAUCAAUAGGGGACCUGAGAGGGUGAUCCCCCACACUGGGCACUGAGAUACGGGGCCAGACUCCUACGGGAGGCAGCAGUAGGGAAUAUUGGACAAUGGGUGUAAGCCUGAUCCAGCCAUGCCGCGUGCAGGAAGAAGGCCUUCUGGGUUGUAAACUGCUUUUGCCGGGGGAUAAAAGAUCCAUGCGUGGAGAAUUGAAGGUACCCGGUGAAUAAGCCACGGCUAACUACGUG
Molecule: ribosomal RNA, 386 nt
Filed under: uncultured bacterium
Lineage: Bacteria
Description: bacterial SSU rRNA
Rfam family: Bacterial small subunit ribosomal RNA
Source: RNAcentral